Molecule: ribosomal RNA, 120 nt
Filed under: Carassius auratus (goldfish)
Lineage: Eukaryota; Metazoa; Chordata; Actinopteri; Cypriniformes; Cyprinidae
Source: RNAcentral
GCUUACGGCCAUACCAACCUGGCUAUGCCCCGAUCUCGUCUGCUCUCGGAAGCUAAGCAGGUUUGGGCCUGGUUAGUACUUGGAUGGGAGACCGCCUGGGAAUACCAGGUGCUGUAAGCU